Molecule: ribosomal RNA, 440 nt
Filed under: uncultured bacterium
Lineage: Bacteria
Description: bacterial SSU rRNA
Rfam family: Bacterial small subunit ribosomal RNA
Source: RNAcentral
CUACGGGAGGCAGCAGUGGGGAAUAUUGGACAAUGGGCGAAAGCCUGAUCCAGCCAUGCCGCGUGAGUGAUGAAGGCCCUAGGGUUGUAAAGCUCUUUCAGUGGGGAAGAUAAUGACGGUACCCACAGAAGAAGCCCCGGCUAACUUCGUGCCAGCAGCCGCGGUAAUACGAAGGGGGCUAGCGUUGUUCGGAAUUACUGGGCGUAAAGCGCACGUAGGCGGAUCAGUCAGUUAGGGGUGAAAUCCCGGGGCUCAACCCCGGAACUGCCUUUAAUACUGCUGAUCUAGAGUUCGAGAGAGGUGAGUGGAAUUCCGAGUGUAGAGGUGAAAUUCGUAGAUAUUCGGAGGAACACCAGUGGCGAAGGCGGCUCACUGGCUCGAUACUGACGCUGAGGUGCGAAAGCGUGGGGAGCAAACAGGAUUAGAAACCCCAGUAGUCC